CCUACGGGAGCUGCAGUGGGGAAUAUUGGACAAUGGGCGAAAGCCUGAUCCAGCCAUGCCGCGUGUGUGAAGAAGGCCUUCGGGUUGUAAAGCACUUUCAGUGGGGAAGAAAGCCUUGGGGCUAAUACCCUCGAGGAAGGACAUCACCCACAGAAGAAGCACCGGCUAACUCCGUGCCAGCAGCCGCGGUAAUACGGAGGGUGCGAGCGUUAAUCGGAAUUACUGGGCGUAAAGCGCGCGUAGGCGGUCUGAUAAGCCGGUUGUGAAAGCCCCGGGCUCAACCUGGGAACGGCAUCCGGAACUGUCAGGCUAGAGUGCAGGAGAGGAAGGUAGAAUUCCCGGUGUAGCGGUGAAAUGCGUAGAGAUCGGGAGGAAUACCAGUGGCGAAGGCGGCCUUCUGGACUGACACUGAUGCUGAGGUGCGAAAGCGUGGGUAGCAAACAGGAUUAGAUACCCUGGUAGUC
RNAcentral lists this ribosomal RNA (464 nucleotides) under Vreelandella stevensii. Its description in RNAcentral is "partial 16S ribosomal RNA". It matches the Rfam family "Bacterial small subunit ribosomal RNA", at positions 338 to 795 of the family's 1533-position model. Lineage: Bacteria; Pseudomonadati; Pseudomonadota; Gammaproteobacteria; Oceanospirillales; Halomonadaceae. The record is from RNAcentral.